RNAcentral lists this long non-coding RNA (265 nucleotides) under Zostera marina. RNAcentral's name for it is "long non-coding RNA (ZMAR_LNC000041)". The record is from RNAcentral. Lineage: Eukaryota; Viridiplantae; Streptophyta; Magnoliopsida; Alismatales; Zosteraceae.
GGCUCUGGAUAUGGAUCUCGUUCGGGUUAUGGAAGAGGAGGGCGUCCAUAGACAUGGUCGACAUCUAGUUUAUAUGAAAUAUUCAUAAUUAUUAAGAUUUCAAUUUGUGCAUGAGGUGUACCAUAAAGUGAUUUGUGCAUGAUUGCUACUGUUACAAUAUCUCAUAUCUAUAUGAUUAUAUAUGUACGUACAACAAGUUGAAAUAUAAAUUUGAGAAAUUAAUUUAAAUAUCAUUUGAAGACAUAAUUGACGAGGUUCGUAAAAA